GAGGCUACCGCAGCGCCCGGGCUCCGAGGGGGAGGGCGGGCGGGAGCUCGGCGAGGGGAGGGGAGGGGGCUGGGGGAGGGGAGGAGAGAGGGACAGGGCGGGGGGGGCAGGCGGGCCGGCUGGGAGGAGUUCGAGGCUACCACCGUGCUCGUCGUCGCUGCUGCAGCCGCUCUCGGGCUCCGAGAAGUGCAGCCCGCCGUUCGUGGACGAGGCGCCGCCGCCGCCGCCGCCGCCCGCCGGGCUCUUGGCGCUGCCGUUGGCCGAUCGGUUCUUCCCCAGUAACUCGGGCCCUUUCUCCAUCAUGCCGGGCAUGGUAGAAGAGGGGAGGGGGAAAGGUGAGGGGGGAAGAGGUAGGCGUCAGGGGGAAGGGGGAGAUGGCUUCCGAGCGCGGGCGGGAGAGGAGAGGAGGAGGAGACGGCGGCGCCGGCGGAGGAGGAGGAGGAGGGUGUUAAUAUGGAGCCGCCAUAACCGCCCCGGUCCGGCAGUAGCGCAGUCGCCUCACAACAACCCGCCCCGGCCCCGCCUCUCUCCCCUCCUCCUCCGUCCGCCGCCCCUCUCGGCCGCGCCGCGCUCUACGCCGCCGCCGGUAUCACUCCGCCCCGCAGGGAGGUUCCGGCCGCCGGGCGGGGGAGGGCGGAGGGGGGAUGCGCUGGAGAGGAGGGGGAGGGGCGGGGAAGCCCCGCUCGCCGACCGGCCGGGCAACCCCAACCGAGCGCUAAUAAAAUCGCCGCAGAGGCGCGGCCGCGUCGCGGGCUUCCUUCCUAGGGGGCGCUGCGUAGCGUGGGCGGAGGCGCGCGCGCGAGGCCUCGGGACUCUUUUGCCCUCUCAGGGCGGAAGGAACGCGGUCUGCCUGCGGGAGGGUCGUCGCCUCCCCGGGGCCUGUCGCCUCCCCGAGGCCUCAGCGUCCCGGGAGCGGCCCCCGCCCCUUUAAUCUUUUCCGAGGGGGGCGUCGCGGGAGCGCGGCCCUUUUGAGAUGCCGCAGAGGGUCGGCCGCCGGAUUUCAGGGCUUCCCCGCCGGAUUUCAGGGCUUCCCCGCCGGCGUCGAGGUGGAGAAGCGCGCUUACUCACGGUGGAGUCGGGCGGAGGAGCCGGGGCAGCCUUGGGGAUCCGAGGCCCGGGCGGCCGAAGCUGGGGGCCCGUCCUAACCCUCUGGACGCGGCAGUUUGUGUGGUCUGCACCUCAGAACUGGGGCCUGAUUUCCUGGAGAGACUGAGGCUGCCGAGAUGAGUUUCCAGUACCGAGCACUGCAGCUGUAUAUCACCAAACAGUGUUUUGCUUUUAAAAACCUUUUUCCUCAGUCGGCCUUGUCUCACCUUUUCCUUUCUUUUGUUCGUUUUUUCUGUUUCAUUACUUAGGGGAGUGGGCGUUGUCCGUGGUGAAAUAAAAACUGGGACGGGAUCUUCGCCCAGUUGGCGCUUUUUCGGCGCGCUGACCUGUGGUCGAGGCUUGGAGCCGAGCUCUGGAGAGGGCGGAGGCCCCGAGCGGAGGUGAGCCCAGAGCUGCAGUCUAGCGGGGUUUCCAGCCUGGCAGGCGAUUUGCUCUGUAAUGCUUUCCUGAAUUGCGUUAGGCACGAGGAAUAGGAACUGCAUUUUUCGUUCACCAGAUUUGAGGAUGUCUGCUGUGUGCCAGGCUGCCUGGCCUUGGGGGGCUACUUAAGAUUUUCUUCAUUUUAAAAAAUUGGGGGGUUUUUUGGCUCAGCAGUAAAUAGAAAUGAGGAUUUCUUGUGAACAUUUAGUACGGAGAUGUAUGCAGAUCGGUGUUUGGGGUCCACAGUAAGGUAUUAUGUCAAACACUUAAAAUUGUCCUGGAAGAUUUCUAUUAUAGAUCAGUGCAGAAUGGAUCAAAACGGAAAGAAGCCUCUCUGGCCAGAAGAAGUCUUCAUUGGAAGAAAUAACAUCCCUAAAGAAGGAACGUGUAAAUCAGGAAUUGAGCCAAGAAAAAGCCUGGGAGGUAAAUAUUUGUCAGGGUCCCCAGUCUAAAGGGGAAAGUCUCCUGAGCAGGUACAAAAACCUGUCUGGUUCUGGUAGUAGAGGUAGUUUCAUCUUCCUUAUCAAAACCUGAUAUGAUUCCAUUAAAUAUUUGAAGCUUACAACUAAACCUUUUAUUCUGUUUCCUUUCUUAACGAACACAGUUGUAAAUGUUAUUUUAAUUCCCAUAUAAUUUUUUCUGCAGGGAGAGAACAUUUUGGCCAAAUGAAAUGAAUAGCCGUUCAUUUCCCUUGACAGUUAUAUUUUUUCAUUGUGAAUUAGCACACUGGUAUUUUGGUUUUCAUACACAAGUUCUGAUGAUCAUGAUUCAGCAUGUCUGGUCCUGUAACACAAAGGCCGGACCCUAAACUGAGUGAAUUCACAAAGAUAAGUAUCACUCUGAAGCUGCUUGGCCAGCCAGCUUUCUAACACCCCAGCAUUCCAAUACCUUUCAGCCACUUUUCUUCAGAAAGGAGUUUCUGUCUGUAGAUGAAGGACUAAAAUAUUGUGAAGAUUUGGGAACUUCUGUAACUCACUUCUAUUUAUUAAAACCCUUAAAGUGGGAAGAUUUCACAAUUUCCUUGAGUGCAGCAUGGAAUACUGCAUUUUUCUAGGGAGAAGAAUGGGUGUUUGAGUAUGGCAUUUAAAAGAAGGAAAAACAAGUUUCUGUUUUGCCCCUGAAGAGAAGAGUUCUGAAGNNNNNNNNNNNNNNNNNNNNNNNNNNNNNNNNNNNNNNNNNNNNNNNNNNNNNNNNNNNNNNNNNNNNNNNNNNNNNNNGAAUGUCUAUAAAAGGGGUUAGAGGCAGAAAAAAAGAAUCUGGGCAAGGAAGAAAUAAGCAUUAAGAAGGGAUCAUAAACAAUGUUGAAGGAUGCAGAGUCACGAGAGGGGUUUAAGAAAAGGCCUUUGGAUUUGUUAACUAGAAGGCUAUUGAUUAUUUUGUUUGACUGCUUUUUUUUUUACUAUGUUAAAAUUUUUUAAUAUGUACAUUAUAUUUUAACCUUGGAACAGACAUUACAUUUUCAUAGUUAAAAAUUCAAGAUGUGAAAAGAGAUAUAAUUCACUGUUGUACUGGCAUCCCAGUGACUGUAAAAAAGCAAGGUAAUAUAAGGAUUAGAAAGAAAUACAUAAACCUGUUGUUUGGAAACAAGCACGAUAGUCUAUAUAAAAUUUAUAAACUGUUAGUAUUAAUGAAUUUAGCAAGUUUAUACAGUCAGUAUAUAAAGGUUAAUUUUAUAUACCACCGCUAAACAAUUAGGAAAUUAAAUUUUUUUAUGUUUUACCAUACAUGAAUGCACAAAAAAUAUUGAAUAACUAGUAUGUUAGUUUCCAGUGGCAGCUGUGACAAAUUACCACAAGCAUAGUAGCUUAAAAUGCAUUCAUCCUCUCAGUUCUAGAAACGAAAAGUCUGAAAUUGAGGUGUCAGUAGGCUGAGCUCCCUCAAGCGGCUUGAGGGGAGAAUCUGUUUCUUGCCUUUUCCAGUUUCUGUUGUCUGCUGGCAUUCUUAGGCUUGAAGCCACGGUCACACUAACCUCUGUGUCCAUCUUCACAUUGCCUUCUCUGUGUGUCUAGAAUUUUCCUCUUGUCUGUUAAUAUAGGGGGCUUCCUAGGUGGUGCUAGUGGGAAAGAGCCCACCUGCAAGUGAGAAGACAAAAAGGGAUGUGGGUUAGAUCACUGGGUUGGGAAGACCCCUGGNNNNNNNNNNNNNNNNNNNNNNNNNNNNNNNNNNNNNNNNNNNNNNNNNNNNNNNNNCCUGGCGGGCUACAGUCUAUAGGACCGCAAAGAGUCAGACAUGACUGAAGUGAUUUAGCAUGCAGGCACGCUGUUAUAUAGAGACUGCUAGCAUGUAUGGCCCGCCUGAAUAAUACAGAAUUAUCUCCUUGUCUCAAGAUCCUUAAUCAUAUCUGCAAAGAUGCUUUUUCCAAAUAAACAUCUUACAGUUUCCAAGGGUUAGGCCCUAAUGUCUUUGGGGCACCAUCCAGCCCACUGCACCUAGGAAUAAAUUUUAAUGAAAGAGAUAUAAGAAGUCUGUACUGAAAAUUGUGUUGUUGAUAGUAAUUAGAGAAGACCCAAGUAUUAGUAGCUGGACAGAUACUGUCCUCAUGGAUCAGAAGAUUUAAUUUUGUAAAGGUGUGAGUUCUCCCCAAAUGAUCUAUAUAGAUUUAGGCUAAUCCCUACUAGAAUCCAGCAGAUGGUAUGUGUGAGUGAAUUGACAAGCUGAGCCUUAAAUGUAUAUGGAAAUUAUAUAAAGAUCAAAGACAGCCAAGACAAUCUGGAACAAGAAUGAAGUUGGGGGAUUUGCACUAUCAGAUAUUAGAAAGUAGACCAAUGGAACUGAAUAGGAUUCCCAAACAGAAGAUUAUGUGAACAUUUUAAUUUUGCAAAGGUGAUGCUGUAGUGAUGAGAAAAAAAAAAUGGAUGUUUGAAUAAAUGAUGCUGGGUCAUUUGAAUAUACUUGAUGCCUACUCAACUCUGAAUAUUCAUUGGAAGGACUGAUGCUAAAGCUCCAAUACUUU
This 4480-nucleotide long non-coding RNA is filed under the name Capra hircus (goat). Its description in RNAcentral is "lncRNA (ENSCHIG00010021307.1)". The record is from RNAcentral. Lineage: Eukaryota; Metazoa; Chordata; Mammalia; Artiodactyla; Bovidae.